GCCAAUAUUGUUCGAGAGUCCUACUGUAAUCUUCAAAAUGGGAAAACUGAAAAAGACUCAAAAACCUUUAUGCAAGUGAUAGUGAGGGGUCAAAAGUUUAACUUCAACCCAGUUGUAAUAAACCAAUUUCUUGAUCAUUUGGGAAACAGAGGAAAAUGCAUAAGAAAUAUUGAGAAGAUUGCCAAAGAAAUAGUGAGAAAAGUAGCAGCUAGGUUGCCUGAAGGUGGAACACUUUCCUCAACAAAACUCAUGAUGAAGUAUGCCAUUCUUCAGAAGUUAGCGGUGAGAAAUUGGCUAUCUUCAUAGCACAGAUCCAUUGUCAACAAAGAGCUUGCUCGACUACUGUACAAAAUAAAUAAAGGGACACCUUUUAACUUGGGUAAAGUGAUAUUUGAUCAAAUCAUGAGUCAAGUUGAUUCAAAUACAACGAGACAAUUUCUUCCCUUUCCAUCUUUAGUGUAUCAAUUUUUUAUGGAUCAAAAAAAUAUUCUUAUAACUAGUGAUGAAGUAUAUGUAAACCCCCCACACAUUCAAAAUAAGUAGUAACUUGUUCUCCACAAAUCGCUUCAAUGGCCUUCAAUAAAUAUCGACUUUUUAAAAGGAGGGUCAGUCAGAUCCUUCACUUAAAGUAGCUCAAAAAUAAUAGCUCUUUACCUUGCUUUGUAACAAGGUAGACGCCCUAACAGCUGACAUCCAACAGUCCAUAGCCUAAAGAAUUCGACUCUCAGAGCUGAUCUACAACAUUGAACAAACCCUUUGGUAGCCCGAAAAGCUUUUUGACAAAAAAAGGGGGGAGAUAAGAAAGGGAGAGAUAAAGUUCUGUAGUUUUUAUGUAUGGUGUUUAGUUUUGUAAGGACAUUGGAGAAAG
Molecule: long non-coding RNA, 868 nt
Filed under: Gossypium raimondii (Peruvian cotton)
Lineage: Eukaryota; Viridiplantae; Streptophyta; Magnoliopsida; Malvales; Malvaceae
Description: long non-coding RNA (GRAI_LNC010708)
Source: RNAcentral